GUGACAGAGUGAGGAAGGGGGUGACACAGUGACAGAGUGAGGGAGGGGGUGACUAGUGACAGAGUGAAGGAGGUGGUGACCGUCACUAGUCACCCCCUCCCUCACUCUGUCACUAGUCACCCCCUCCCUCACUGUCACUAGUCACCCCCUCCCUCUCUCUGUCACUAGUGACACCCUCCCUCACUCUCACUAGUCACCCCCUCCCUCACUGUCACUAGUCAC
Molecule: non-coding RNA, 222 nt
Organism: Pelobates cultripes (western spadefoot toad)
Lineage: Eukaryota; Metazoa; Chordata; Amphibia; Anura; Pelobatidae
Source: the annotation of a GenBank genome assembly